AUUGGCCGUUAAUUUUGACACAACACAUAUAAAAAGUAAUUUGCACUUAAAAUAAAAUAAAUGAAUUAAAUAAUAAUAAAGCUAUCGCUCUCUCAGAACAGAGAAGUGAGAAGUGGGAAGUGAAGAAGGCCGCUGCUGUUGCUUUUUUGGCUCUUCCGUGUUCAACAGAAAAGGGUCACACUCACAUCAAAAUCUCCGCAAAAUCAACAAACAAGGUAAAUUGCGUGUGAUUUCAUCAUUAUCAAAUCUCAUCUCUGCAUGCUCUUUUCUAUGCAAAAUCCAAAUCUUUGCCUUUCGUUAAUGCCAUUCAAAUUCCAACACCAACUGCUGAUUUCGGUUAAGGUGAAAUAUCAGAAAUGUGGAAGCUGAAGAUCGCCGAAGGAGGUAAUCCCUGGCUCAGAACAACCAACAAUCAUGUUGGAAGACAAAUAUGGGAGUUUGAUCCCAAUCUCGGUUCUCCUGAGGAGCUUUUGGAGAUCCAAAAUGCUCGUCAAAAUUUCACCAGUAAUCGCUUUCACCAAAAGCAUAGCUCAGAUCUGGUCAUGCGCAUUCAGUUUGGCAAGGAAAAUGCAUUGGCUGAGGUAUUGCCUCAAGUCAAAGUGAAAGACACUGAAGAUGUUACUGAGGAGGCAGUGACUACCACUUUGAGAAGGGCUUUGAAUUUCUAUUCCACUAUUCAGGCCCAUGAUGGACAUUGGCCUGGAGAUUAUGGGGGGCCUAUGUUUCUUUUGCCUGGCUUGGUUAUAACUCUUUCUGUCACUGGAGCACUGAAUGCAGUUUUAUCUAAGGAACAUAAACGGGAGAUGUGCCGCUACCUGUACAACCAUCAGAACAGAGAUGGUGGAUGGGGCUUACACAUCGAGGGGCCGAGCACCAUGUUUGGUAGUGUCCUGUGCUAUGUCACUCUAAGGUUGCUUGGCGAAGGGGUUAAUGAUGGGGAAGGGGCCAUGGAGAGAGGACGUAGUUGGAUUCUGGACCAUGGUGGUGCUACUGCAAUAACAUCAUGGGGAAAAAUGUGGCUUUCAGUACUGGGAGCAUUUGAGUGGUCUGGCAAUAAUCCCCUGCCCCCUGAAAUAUGGCUUCUUCCGUAUAUUCUCCCCUUCCAUCCAGGGAGGAUGUGGUGUCACUGUCGGAUGGUCUAUUUGCCAAUGUCAUAUUUAUAUGGGAAGAGGUUUGUUGGCCCAAUCACACCAACAGUUUUAUCUUUGAGAAAGGAGAUAUUUACUGUCCCAUAUCAUGAAAUAGAUUGGAAUCAAGCACGCAACCAAUGUGCAAAGGAAGAUUUGUACUACCCACAUCCCUUGGUGCAAGAUGUACUUUGGGCACUUCUUGAUAAGUUUGUUGAACCUAUUUUACUGCGUUGGCCUGGAAAAAGGUUGAGAGAAAAGGCCCUUCAUGUUGCAAUUGAGCACAUACACUAUGAAGAUGAAAACACUCGUUACGUAUGCAUAGGACCAGUGAACAAGGUGUUAAAUAUGCUCUGCUGUUGGGUGGAGGACCCAAAUUCAGAAGCUUUCAAGCUACAUCUUCCGAGAAUAUAUGAUUACCUCUGGAUCGCUGAAGAUGGAAUGAAAAUGCAGGGUUAUAAUGGAAGUCAAUUGUGGGACACAUCUUUUGCAGUUCAAGCAAUUUUGUCAACAAAUCUUGUUGAGGAAUAUGGUCCAACUUUAAGAAAAGCACAUACAUACAUUAAAAAAUCGCAGGUUUUGGAAAAUUGUUCCGGAGAUCAUAAACUUUGGUAUCGUCACAUUUCAAAAGGUGCAUGGCCCUUUUCAACUGCAGAUCAUGGAUGGCCCAUCUCAGACUGCACUGCAGAGGGAUUAAAAGCCGUUCUCUUGCUAUCAAAAAUUCCCUCAGAGAUUGUUGGGGAAGCAUUAGAUGCAAACCGUUUAUAUGAUGCAGUGAAUGUUGUUCUGUCAUUGCAGAAUGGUGAUGGCGGCUUUGCCACAUAUGAGCUCACAAGAUCUUACAGGUGGUUGGAGUUGAUCAACCCUGCUGAAACUUUUGGUGACAUUGUCAUUGAUUACCCUUAUGUUGAAUGUACUUCUGCUGCAAUUCAAGCUCUGACAUCAUUUAAUAAACUACAUCCUGAACAUCGGCGAGAGGAAAUAGAAAGUUGUAUCAAAAAGGCAACUGAGUUCCUAGAAAAAAUACAGGCGGAGGAUGGCUCAUGGUAUGGCUCAUGGGGUGUUUGCUUCACCUAUGGUACAUGGUUUGGCAUAAAAGGGUUGGUGGCUGCUGGAAAGAACUUAAAUAAUUGCUCUAGUAUCCGUAAAGCUUGUGAUUUUCUUCUUUCUAAACAGUGCCCUGCUGGUUGCUGGGGAGAGAGUUAUCUUUCAUGUCAACAAAAGGUUUAUUCCUAUCUUGAAGGCAACAAGUCUCAUGUGGUCAACACUGCUUGGGCUAUGUUGAGUCUUAUUGAUGCUGGACAGGCUGAGAGAGAUCCAACACCGUUGCACUGUGCGGCAAGAUAUUUAAUAAAUGCUCAGAUGGAAAAUGGAGAUUUUCCACAGCAGGAAAUCAUGGGAGUUUUCAACAAGAAUUGUAUGAUCACUUAUGCAGCUUACAGGGAUAUUUUUCCCAUUUGGGCAUUGGGAGAAUACCGUUGCCGGGUAUUGCAGGCUUCGUAAAAUAACCAAUGGAAAUAAUGCCAUUUCUGUUUGGCCUCUUAGCUGGUUUUCUCAGUUUUGGGAAAGAUAGUUGGGAUUGAGCUGUAGCAUUUUAAUGAAGAAAAAUAAAUUAACGGAAAUUAUUAGCGUUUACUCUUUGAUCUUUUUUUGGUCAUUAUUUUUAUUCAAUGGAAAUUAUUGGUUUCAAACAAUCAUGUUAUAUUUUGCUUGUCCAAGGAAUCAACUAAGCUUUUGCUCACGUAUAUAAA
This 2878-nucleotide unclassified non-coding RNA is filed under the name Hevea brasiliensis (rubber tree). The record is from RNAcentral. Lineage: Eukaryota; Viridiplantae; Streptophyta; Magnoliopsida; Malpighiales; Euphorbiaceae.